CCUACGGGUGGCAGCAGUGGGGAAUAUUGGGCAAUGGGCGCAAGCCUGACCCAGCAACGCCGCGUGAAGGAAGAAGGCUUUCGGGUUGUAAACUUCUUUUGUCAGGGAAGAGUAGAAGACGGUACCUGACGAAUUAGCCCCGGCUAACUAAGUGCCAGCAGGCGCGGUAAAACGUAGGUGGCAAGCGUUUUCCGGAUUUACUGGGGGUAAAGGGCGUGUAGGCGGGUUGACAAGUCAGAUGUGAAAUCCUGCGGCUUAACCGCAGAACUGCAUUUGAAACUGUUGAUCUUGAGUACAGGAGAGGCAGAUGGAAUUCCUAGUGUAGCGGUGGAAUGCGUAGAUAUUAGGAGGAACACCAGUGGCGAAGGCGAUCUGCUGGACAGCAACUGACGGUGAGGCGCGAAAGCGUGGGGAGCAAACAGGAUUAGAUGCCCGAGUAGUC
This 442-nucleotide ribosomal RNA is filed under the name uncultured bacterium. RNAcentral describes it as "partial 16S ribosomal RNA". It matches the Rfam family "Bacterial small subunit ribosomal RNA", at positions 338 to 795 of the family's 1533-position model. The record is from RNAcentral.